Molecule: ribosomal RNA, 774 nt
Filed under: Cutibacterium porci
Lineage: Bacteria; Bacillati; Actinomycetota; Actinomycetes; Propionibacteriales; Propionibacteriaceae
Description: Cutibacterium sp. WCA-380-WT-3A partial 23S ribosomal RNA
Rfam family: Bacterial large subunit ribosomal RNA
Source: RNAcentral
GAGGAUAGGCAGGAGGCGAAGAUCCGGAGGCGCCAGCCCCCGGGGAGCCGCCCUUGGAAUACUGCCCUCGCGCGACCGGCGUCCUAACCCGAGGCCGUCAACCGGCUCGGGGACCGUGCCAGGCGGGCAGUUUGACUGGGGCGGUCGCCUCCUAAAGGGUAACGGAGGCGCGCGAAGGUCCGCUCGGGACGGUCGGCAACCGUCCUUUUGAAUGCAAGAGUACAAGCGGGCUUGACUGCGAGGCCCACAAGCCGAGCAGGUGCGAAAGCAGGCUCUAGUGAUCCGGCGGCCCCGAGUGGGUGGGCCGUCGCUCAACGGAUAAAAGGUACUCCGGGGAUAACAGGCUGAUCUUGCCCAAGAGUCCACAUCGACGGCAAGGUUUGGCACCUCGAUGUCGGCUCAUCGCAUCCUGGGGCUGGAGCAGGUCCCAAGGGUACGGCUGUUCGCCGUUUAAAGCGGUACGCGAGCUGGGUUCAGAACGUCGUGAGACAGUUCGGUCCCUAUCCUCCGUGGGCGCAGGAGAAUCGAUGGAGGCUGCCCCCAGUACGAGAGGACCGGGGUGGACGCACCUCCGGUGAACCGGUUGUCGACCAACGGCACGGCCGGGUAGCCGCGUGCGGCGCGGAUAACCGCUGAAGGCAUCUAAGCGGGAAGCCGUUCCAGGGAUUAGUUCUCCUUCCGGUAAGGGCCCAGGUAGACUACCUGGUCGAUAGACGGCAGGUGCAAGGCUGGCGACAGCCUCAGCCGAGCCGCACUAAUCGCCCGAGCUCUUCC